GAGUUCGGUGUUGCCGUUCAGUUGACUCAAGAAAGUAUGCAAUUUGGGACGGAUGGAACUCAGCCGUCGAGCUUGCCUGAGACACAACCGUGGGAAUAAGUCAGUUGAUGGGGGAUGGUCUGAUUCCAGUUAAAGUAGCUAAUUUUGGUAGAUUACCUGCAGUUUUUAACAAAAGUGGCCGAGUAUUGCUUCAACAAGAUUUCAGGUUGGAUCAGUUCGUCUGACAAUAUUUGUACAAAAGUAGCCGAGUAAGGUGAUGGACAUAU
This is a long non-coding RNA of Carya illinoinensis, 266 nucleotides long. RefSeq lists it as uncharacterized. NCBI's taxonomy places the organism in Eukaryota, Viridiplantae, Streptophyta, Magnoliopsida, Fagales, Juglandaceae. The record is from RefSeq and is a predicted model, not a curated record. The transcript has 3 exons.